RNAcentral lists this ribosomal RNA (466 nucleotides) under uncultured bacterium. Its description in RNAcentral is "partial 16S ribosomal RNA". It matches the Rfam family "Bacterial small subunit ribosomal RNA", at positions 28 to 507 of the family's 1533-position model. The record is from RNAcentral.
GAUGAACGCUGGCGGCGUGCUUAACACAUGCAAGUCGAACGGAAAGGCUCCUGCUUGCAGGGGGUACUCGAGUGGCGAACGGGUGAGUAACACGUGGGUGAUCUGCCCUGCACUUCGGGAUAAGCCUGGGAAACUGGGUCUAAUACCGGAUAGGACGAUGGUUUGGAUGCCAUUGUGGAAAGUUUUUCGGUGUGGGAUGAGCUCGCGGCCUAUCAGCUUGUUGGUGGGGUAAUGGCCUACCAAGGCGUCGACGGGUAGCCGGCCUGAGAGGGUGUACGGCCACAUUGGGACUGAGAUACGGCCCAGACUCCUACGGGAGGCAGCAGUGGGGAAUAUUGCACAAUGGGCGCAAGCCUGAUGCAGCGACGCCGCGUGGGGGAUGACGGCCUUCGGGUUGUAAACUCCUUUCGCUAGGGACGAAGCGCAAGUGACGGUACCUGGAGAAGAAGCACCGGCUAACUACGUG